Molecule: long non-coding RNA, 585 nt
Organism: Rhododendron vialii
Lineage: Eukaryota; Viridiplantae; Streptophyta; Magnoliopsida; Ericales; Ericaceae
Exons: 3
Source: RefSeq, a predicted model, not a curated record
GUUCAUUAUAGACAUGAAGCAUGCAGUUCAGGCUGAUAAAAUUUGACUCGUACCUAUCUUCUAGCAUAUAUAUAAUGGAAGACUGAUUCUUCUUCCACCUCAGGGGAGAGAGAGAGAGAGAGAGAGAGAGAGAGAGAGAGAGAGAGAGAGAGAGAGAGAGAGAGAGAGAGAGAGAGAGAGAGAGAGAGAGAGAGAGAGAGAGAGAGAGAGAGAGCAUGGGGAAACUGGGCCAGCAAGCUCUCAUGUAUGCUGAGAAUCUUACACUACCAUCGUUUCAGGUGAUAGUAAUAAGUGCGAACCUGGGUUGUGACUGCUGUCGACAAAGGGUCUCCCAGAUUAUGUCCAAGAUGACCGGAGUAACAGAGUACACGGUGGACGUGCAGAAUAAACAGGUAGUGGCGAAGAGUGAUGUCAACUUCAGUCACAGUAGAAGAAGAAGAAGAAAUGUCGACCACAGUCCCAGAAAUAAAAUUAACCAUGUUUGGCUUUCAUUCAAGUUCUCCUUCAGUUUUCUCAGACCUACUUGUUGUAUCACUAGAUGCUUUGUCUAGUUCUAUCGAAGGAAAAUUCCCCUUGUAAAUCAAC